This 450-nucleotide ribosomal RNA is filed under the name uncultured Glomeromycotina. RNAcentral's name for it is "SSU rRNA". It matches the Rfam family "Eukaryotic small subunit ribosomal RNA", at positions 569 to 1023 of the family's 1831-position model. The record is from RNAcentral. Lineage: Eukaryota; Fungi; Glomeromycota.
AGCAGCCGCGGUAAUUCCAGCUCCAAUAGCGUAUAUUAAAGUUGUUGCAGUUAAAAAGCUCGUAGUUGAAUUUUAGGCCUGGCCAGGCGGUCCGUCUUUGGCGAGUACUGUCUUGUGUCGGGUCUUCCUUCUGGUGAACCUGUAUGUCCUUUAUUGGGUGUGCUGGGGAGCCAGGACCAUUACCUUGAAAAAAUUAGAGUGUUUAAAGCGGGCUAUUGCUUGAAUAGAUUAGCAUGGAAUAAUAGAAUAGGACGUUGUGGUUCUAUUUUGUUGGUUUCUAGGACCACCGUAAUGAUUAAUAGGGAUAGUUGGGGGCAUUAGUAUUCAAUUGUCAGAGGUGAAAUUCUUGGAUUUAUUGAAGACUAACUACUGCGAAAGCAUUUGCCAAGGAUGUUUUCAUUAAUCAAGAACGAAAGUUAGGGGAUCGAAGACGAUCAGAUACCGUCGUAG